UACGAAGGGUGCAAGCGUUACUCGGAAUUACUGGGCGUAAAGCGUGCGUAGGUGGUGAGUUAAGUCUGUCGUGAAAGCCCCGGGCUCAACCUGGGAAUGGCGAUGGAUACUGGCUCGCUAGAGUGCGGUAGAGGGUGGUGGAAUUCCCGGUGUAGCAGUGAAAUGCGCAGAGAUCGGGAGGAACAUCAGUUGCGAAGGCGGCCACCUGGACCAGCACUGACACUGAGGCACGAAAGCGUGGGGAGCAAACAGG
Molecule: ribosomal RNA, 253 nt
Filed under: uncultured bacterium
Lineage: Bacteria
Description: partial 16S ribosomal RNA
Rfam family: Bacterial small subunit ribosomal RNA
Source: RNAcentral